This 252-nucleotide unclassified non-coding RNA is filed under the name Borreliella garinii. RNAcentral's name for it is "partial 5S-23S ribosomal RNA intergenic spacer". The record is from RNAcentral. Lineage: Bacteria; Pseudomonadati; Spirochaetota; Spirochaetia; Spirochaetales; Borreliaceae.
CUGCGGUUCGCGGGAGAGUAAGUUAUUGCCAGGGUUUUUAUUUUAUACUUUAAACAUUGAUUUUAUUUUUUAUGUUUUUAGAUGUUCAUGUUUUUGAAUGUUUUAUUUAAAUAAUAUAAAAAAUAAAAUAUAUAUUGACAUGGAUUAAACAAAGAUAUAUAUUAUUCUAUGUUGCAUAAGCAAAUUGGCAAAAUAGAGAUGGAAGAUAAAAAUAUGGUCAAAGUAAUAAGAGUCUAUGGUGAAUGCCUAGGA